UGCAGCUUGCUGCGGGUACUCGAGUGGCGAACGGGUGAGUAACACGUGGGUGAUCUGCCUUGCACUUCGGGAUAAGCUUGGGAAACUGGGUCUAAUACCGGAUAGGACAGCUGUUUAGUGUCAGUUGUGGAAAGUUUUUUCGGUGCAAGAUGAGCUCGCGGCCUAUCAGCUUGUUGGUGGGGUAAUGGCCUACCAAGGCGUCGACGGGUAGCCGGCCUGAGAGGGUGUACGGCCACAUUGGGACUGAGAUACGGCCCAGACUCCUACGGGAGGCAGCAGUGGGGAAUAUUGCACAAUGGGCGGAAGCCUGAUGCAGCGACGCCGCGUGGGGGAUGAAGGCCUUCGGGUUGUAAACUCCUUUCGACAGGGACGAAGCGUAAGUGACGGUACCUGUAUAAGAAGCACCGGCUAACUACGUGCCAGCAGCCGCGGUAAUACGUAGGGUGCGAGCGUUGUCCGGAAUUACUGGGCGUAAAGAGCUCGUAGGUGGUUUGUCGCGUCGUCUGUGAAAUUCCGGGGCUUAACUCCGGGCGUGCAGGCGAUACGGGCUGACUUGAGUGCUGUAGGGGAGACUGGAAUUCCUGGUGUAGCGGUGAAAUGCGCAGAUAUCAGGAGGAACACCGAUGGCGAAGGCAGGUCUCUGGGCAGUAACUGACGCUGAGGAGCGAAAGCAUGGGUAGCGAACAGGAUUAGAUACCCUGGUAGUCCAUGCCGUAAACGGUGGGCGCUAGGUGUAGGGGGCUUCCACGUCUUCUGUGCCGUAGCUAACGCAUUAAGCGCCCCGCCUGGGGAGUACGCCGCAAGG
This 805-nucleotide ribosomal RNA is filed under the name uncultured Actinomycetes bacterium. RNAcentral describes it as "bacterial SSU rRNA". It matches the Rfam family "Bacterial small subunit ribosomal RNA", at positions 74 to 893 of the family's 1533-position model. Lineage: Bacteria; Bacillati; Actinomycetota; Actinomycetes. The record is from RNAcentral.